Molecule: long non-coding RNA, 2176 nt
Organism: Gallus gallus (chicken)
Lineage: Eukaryota; Metazoa; Chordata; Aves; Galliformes; Phasianidae
Source: Ensembl
CCCGGAUCAAUCACACUGAGGGGUGGCCCCUCAAGUGUCAGUCACGCUGGGGGUGUUUUGGGGGCUGUAUCAGCCACGCUGGGGGACUAAGAGAGGCUGGUCUCGGGAUUUCAGUGACACUGGAGGUGACGGGCUGGUCUUUGACUGUGCCAUUCACGCUGGGGUUGGGACAGAGGCCGGUCCCUGUCAGUGCCCGUCCCAUGAGGAUGUCACAGGGCGGUCUCUGGUUGUGUCGGUCACUCAGGAGGUGUGACGGGGCUGUCUCUGGCAGCGUCAGUCACUCUGGAGGUAUGACAGGGGCCUGCCUUCGGCUGUGUCACUCACAGAGGUAAGAGGGGCGACCGGCCCCCACCCCUUCGCUCAGCGAUUGGUGACCAGCGCUGCCAGUCAACCGAUCUGAGGCCGGCGAUUGGUCCGUCAGAAAAAGGGCGGUGCAUCGGCGCGCACCCAGCGACGGCGGGCCGUUCUCCCCUCGCCGCCGAUGGUCCCGGCACAACAUGGCGGCCGCCGGCCGGGCCGGACCUUGAGUACUGCUGCCCUCGUUCCGCCCGCGGGGCCGAGGCCGCCGGGGACAGCGCCCGGCCCGGCCCUCCGCGCACGGAAGCUGAUGUGAAGGAAACCAACUAUGAAAGGUCUGAGGAAUUUGUACUGCCUGUUUCCACAAUUACUAACAAGUGCGUCCCUGCUGAACAUUCAGCUUGAGAAGAAAUUCUCACAGAGCUGAUGGAGGAAUCCUUGCAAAUCUACGACUGGAAGUAUGAUUCAUCCACGCCUGGGGUCUUUGUCACCUUCACACCUGCAUUGUGAAUAUGAACAUUUAGAGUGCUGUUACUCUGAAGAACCUCAAGGAGAGGGAAGCUGUGGGAGAAAGUGCUUCUGCUGCCAUUGUAGCAAGUUGGAGUCAGAAGAGAUGUGUGGUUGUUGUGGGAUGUAGUCAAGACUAGCUGGACUCACCUGAGGCAUCUGUGCUUAUAUCCAUUUUGGAAACCUGUGAGCUCUGUUGAGAAAAUACACCGAGGUGGCUGACCAGUGUGCACAAUAACACUGAAAGCAGGAGUGAUCCCUGCAAGAUUACCUGGUGAUGCUGGAGAGUGCUUAUGACUGCCGGGAGUACAGUAAGUGGGGGAUGAAUGCAUAGUAGCUAGGGGAGCUGGGUCAGGGACUGCUGCUGGUGGUGGAAGAGAAGCUUUUGGGAGGUUUGUGAUGAGGCUUGAUGGGGUCUGGAGUUUGGACUCCUCGUGUUGAACAAUACAGUAAUGAUGCUAAUCGUAAGAAUGGGCUAAUGGGAGUGAAAUGUGCUGACAUGGAAUACAGACAGGAGGGAGGGCUGCAGAGCCUCUGAAAAAUAAGUCUAUUGGAAAAUGACGAUAGACAAGUGGUGUAAGAUUCUGCUUUAGAUUGGUGGCUUGUGUAUGGGCUGUAAGGGAUGGAGGAAAGGGGCCUGGAAAUGCCUGCAGACGGCUAUCCUCCUGUGGCUUUGAAAAAGGCAAAUGGAAUUUUACAAUGUGCCAAAGGACUGCCAUUACAAUGAAGGAAACUUUGCUCUUGUGAAAUGCUCCACUCACUCCUGAUUUCAGAUUUGCUGCAGAUAUGCUGCUGGUGGUGCUCCAUGCCUUGCAGGAGGUGAGGAGUAGCUCCUGUUUUCAUGCAGGCACUACUAAGCUAGCAAGAACAGUUGAUGCUGAUGGGUGACUUGAGCCAUUCUGUUCCAGGCAGUGAUUAAAGAAGAUCAAUUCAGGCUUGUUUUCUGUGUCUGUAGCAGAAGAAAGCACAGUUUGUGUCUCAAAUGAAACCGGCCUUUCUGAGAUGUGAAUGAGGCCUUUCAUUUAAAGCGUGUCACUAUACUGCCUUUAUAACUACUUACACAUAACCUAAAUAGAUGAGCAUUAUAUUUACAUGUAUGUACAUAAAUCUGUAUUUACAUGCUUACAUGCGUUUGAGUGGAUAUACAUUCAGAGAAGCCUUACCCAGACAAAAGCAGUCAUGAGGAACUGAAGAAACAGAGGGAGUAAAGGGAAUAUGUAAAAUGGAUGUUAAGGAGAAAGAAGGGGUAUGAGGAGCAACCAAGACAACUGUCGAGAUGGGGAAAAAUGUACUUUCUGAGGUUAGAUUAGCAAUUCAGUGUGUGUUUAAACCAUGUGAUUGAAAGCUCCCUGUGGAGCUGCUGUCAGCAGAG